This 20-nucleotide small RNA is filed under the name Arabidopsis thaliana (thale cress). RNAcentral describes it as "Ath_wt_01924". Lineage: Eukaryota; Viridiplantae; Streptophyta; Magnoliopsida; Brassicales; Brassicaceae. The record is from RNAcentral.
CGGCGUUCGAAUUGUAGUCU